Molecule: ribosomal RNA, 541 nt
Filed under: uncultured Capnodiales
Lineage: Eukaryota; Fungi; Ascomycota; Dothideomycetes; Capnodiales
Description: eukaryotic LSU rRNA
Rfam family: 5.8S ribosomal RNA (bases 177-330)
Source: RNAcentral
GACCUGCGGAGGGAUCAUUACAAGUGACCCCGGUCUAACCACCGGGAUGUUCAUAACCCUUUGUUGUCCGACUCUGUUGCCUCCGGGGCGACCCUGCCUUCGGGCGGGGGCUCCGGGUGGACACUUCAAACUCUUGCGUAACUUUGCAGUCUGAGUAAACUUAAUUAAUAAAUUAAAACUUUUAACAACGGAUCUCUUGGUUCUGGCAUCGAUGAAGAACGCAGCGAAAUGCGAUAAGUAAUGUGAAUUGCAGAAUUCAGUGAAUCAUCGAAUCUUUGAACGCACAUUGCGCCCCCUGGUAUUCCGGGGGGCAUGCCUGUUCGAGCGUCAUUUCACCACUCAAGCCUCGCUUGGUAUUGGGCAACGCGGUCCGCCGCGUGCCUCAAAUCGACCGGCUGGGUCUUCUGUCCCCUAAGCGUUGUGGAAACUAUUCGCUAAAGGGUGUUCGGGAGGCUACGCCGUAAAACAACCCCAUUUCUAAGGUUGACCUCGGAUCAGGUAGGGAUACCCGCUGAACUCAAGCAUAUCAAUAAGCGGAGGA